This 2949-nucleotide ribosomal RNA is filed under the name Streptococcus pneumoniae. RNAcentral describes it as "23S ribosomal RNA". It matches the Rfam family "Bacterial large subunit ribosomal RNA". Lineage: Bacteria; Bacillati; Bacillota; Bacilli; Lactobacillales; Streptococcaceae. The record is from RNAcentral.
UAAGGUGGGAUAGAUGAUUGGGGUGAAGUCGUAACAAGGUAGCCGUAUCGGAAGGUGCGGCUGGAUCACCUCCUUUCUAAGGAUAAGGAACUGCGCAUUGGUCUUGUUUAGUCUUGAGAGGUCUUGUGGGGCCUUAGCUCAGCUGGGAGAGCGCCUGCUUUGCACGCAGGAGGUCAGCGGUUCGAUCCCGCUAGGCUCCAUUGGUGAGAGAUCANAGGAGGAAGACGCAGUGAACUGAAACAUCUAAGUAGCUGCAGGAAGAGAAAGCAAAAGCGAUUGCCUUAGUAGCGGCGAGCGAAACGGCAGGAGGGCAAACCGAAGAGUUUACUCUUCGGGGUUGUAGGACUGCAAUGUGGACUCAAAGAUUAUAGAAGAAUGAUUUGGGAAGAUCAGCCAAAGAGAGUAAUAGCCUCGUAUUUAAAAUAGUCUUUGUACCUAGCAGUAUCCUGAGUACGGCGGGACACGUGAAAUCCCGUCGGAAUCUGGGAGGACCAUCUCCCAACCCUAAAUACUCCCUAGUGACCGAUAGUGAACCAGUACCGUGAGGGAAAGGUGAAAAGCACCCCGGGAGGGGAGUGAAAUAGAACCUGAAACCGUGUGCCUACAACAAGUUCGAGCCCGUUAAUGGGUGAGAGCGUGCCUUUUGUAGAAUGAACCGGCGAGUUACGUUAUGAUGCGAGGUUAAGUUGAAGAGACGGAGCCGUAGGGAAACCGAGUCUGAAUAGGGCGCCUUAGUAUCAUGACGUAGACCCGAAACCAUGUGACCUACCCAUGAGCAGGUUGAAGGUGCGGUAAGACGCACUGGAGGACCGAACCAGGGCACGUUGAAAAGUGCUUGGAUGACUUGUGGGUAGCGGAGAAAUUCCAAACGAACUUGGAGAUAGCUGGUUCUCUCCGAAAUAGCUUUAGGGCUAGCGUCGACAUUAGAGAUUCUUGGAGGUAGAGCACUGUUUGGGUGAGGGGUCCAUCCCGGAUUACCAAUCUCAGAUAAACUCCGAAUGCCAAUGAAUUAUGGUCGGCAGUCAGACUGCGAGUGCUAAGAUCCGUAGUCGAAAGGGAAACAGCCCAGACCACCAGCUAAGGUCCCAAAAUAAUUGUUAAGUGGAAAAGGAUGUGGGGUUGCACAGACAACUAGGAUGUUAGCUUAGAAGCAGCUAUUCAUUCAAAGAGUGCGUAAUAGCUCACUAGUCGAGUGACCCUGCGCCGAAAAUGUACCGGGGCUAAAACAAUUUACCGAAGCUGUGGAUACCUUUAUAGGUAUGGUAGGAGAGCGUUCUAUGUGUGAUGAAGGUAUACCGUGAGGAGUGCUGGAACGCAUAGAAGUGAGAAUGCCGGUAUGAGUAGCGAAAGACAGGUGAGAAUCCUGUCCACCGUAAGACUAAGGUUUCCAGGGGAAGGCUCGUCCGCCCUGGGUUAGUCGGGACCUAAGGAGAGACCGAAAGGUGUAUCCGAUGGACAACAGGUUGAUAUUCCUGUACUAGAGUAUGUAGUGAUGGAGGGACGCAGUAGGCUAACUAAAGCAGACGAUUGGAAGAGUCUGUCUAAGCAGUGAGGUGUGAAUUGAGUCAAAUGCUUAAUUCUAUAACAUUGAGCUGUGAUGGGGAGCGAAGUUUAGUAGCGAAGUUAGUGACGUCACACUGCCAAGAAAAGCUUCUAGCGUUUAAACAUACUCUACCCGUACCGCAAACCGACACAGGUAGUCGAGGCGAGUAGCCUCAGGUGAGCGAGAGAACUCUCGUUAAGGAACUCGGCAAAAUGACCCCGUAACUUCGGGAGAAGGGGUGCUGACUUAAAGUCAGCCGCAGUGAAUAGGCCCAAGCAACUGUUUAUCAAAAACACAGCUCUCUGCUAAAUCGUAAGAUGAUGUAUAGGGGGUGACGCCUGCCCGGUGCUGGAAGGUUAAGAGGAGUGCUUAGCGUAAGCGAAGGUAUGAAUUGAAGCCCCAGUAAACGGCGGCCGUAACUAUAACGGUCCUAAGGUAGCGAAAUUCCUUGUCGGGUAAGUUCCGACCCGCACGAAAGGCGUAAUGAUUUGGGCACUGUCUCAACGAGAGACUCGGUGAAAUUUUAGUACCUGUGAAGAUGCAGGUUACCCGCGACAGGACGGAAAGACCCCAUGGAGCUUUACUGCAGUUUGAUAUUGAGUGUCUGUACCACAUGUACAGGAUAGGUAGGAGUCUAAGAGAUCGGGACGCCAGUUUCGAAGGAGACGCUGUUGGGAUACUACCCUUGUGUUAUGGCCACUCUAACCCAGAUAGGUGAUCCCUAUCGGAGACAGUGUCUGACGGGCAGUUUGACUGGGGCGGUCGCCUCCUAAAAGGUAACGGAGGCGCCCAAAGGUUCCCUCAGAAUGGUUGGAAAUCAUUCGCAGAGUGUAAAGGUAUAAGGGAGCUUGACUGCGAGAGCUACAACUCGAGCAGGGACGAAAGUCGGGCUUAGUGAUCCGGUGGUUCCGUAUGGAAGGGCCAUCGCUCAACGGAUAAAAGCUACCCUGGGGAUAACAGGCUUAUCUCCCCCAAGAGUUCACAUCGACGGGGAGGUUUGGCACCUCGAUGUCGGCUCGUCGCAUCCUGGGGCUGUAGUCGGUCCCAAGGGUUGGGCUGUUCGCCCAUUAAAGCGGCACGCGAGCUGGGUUCAGAACGUCGUGAGACAGUUCGGUCCCUAUCCGUCGCGGGCGUAGGAAAUUUGAGAGGAUCUGCUCCUAGUACGAGAGGACCAGAGUGGACUUACCGCUGGUGUACCAGUUGUCUUGCCAAAGGCAUCGCUGGGUAGCUAUGUAGGGAAGGGAUAAACGCUGAAAGCAUCUAAGUGUGAAACCCACCUCAAGAUGAGAUUUCCCAUGAUUAUAUAUCAGUAAGAGCCCUGAGAGAUGAUCAGGUAGAUAGGUUAGAAGUGGAAGUGUGGCGACACAUGUAGCGGACUAAUACUAAUAGCUCGAGGACUUAUCCAA